RNAcentral lists this long non-coding RNA (1484 nucleotides) under Pogona vitticeps (central bearded dragon). Its description in RNAcentral is "lncRNA (ENSPVIG00000022854.1)". Lineage: Eukaryota; Metazoa; Chordata; Lepidosauria; Squamata; Agamidae. The record is from RNAcentral.
UGAGUGUUAUGAGUAUAAAACAGUGGUUUCGUUCUGUUAUACUGGCAAGCCUGAAGUAAAUACUGUUGGGCUGGCAUCUAACAAAAGAAUUGUUUGUUUUAUGCACAGUAUAUGUGGAAGAAUGAGGUACAGGUAGUUAGGAUACUGAGGUGAUACAAUGGACUGUACCAUUUCAGGGAGCAUUUGGGGGAAGGGAGAAGUAAAGAGUGUUCUUAGGUUAAAAUCAACUGAGAAUUUAAAAAAUCUAGUCUAUUUGAUUUCUAUAUUGCCACCUUGCCAUGUCCACAUGUACAGUCACUGAGGAGUAAGACAGUGGUAAAUCCACUCUUUAAAUAUCUUAAAUGCCUUGAAGAACCCUAUUGGGGUCACCAUAAGCUGGAAGUAGGCAAUCAGUGUGUUUUAGUAACUAAGAUAUUCAGUUCGCUGAGAGAAGGGCCAGCCCUACCAUUGAAUAUAUUUAAGCUUUAAGUGGCAGAUGGUGGAAAGGCUGGGAUCAAGUUGUUGAGGAUAGUGGUAAAUAGGCUUCAUUUGCCCUCUAAGCUGCCCACAGGUGUGCUAUCAUCAGUAUCAAAAUAAGAUUAAACUCCCAAUUCAGUUAUGUUCUGUGGACAAAAUGAGGGACAUAAUGUUGGCCUAAGGCAGCAAAAUAUCUUGGGCUAGCCUUGGCUAGAGAGAGUUAGGUUUCCAAUCCUGCUUUGCCAUGGAAUUCACUAUGCACUUUGGGGCUAGCAGUCAUUAUCUUUCAGUUUCAUCUACCUCAGGAAUUGUUUUAAGGAUAAACAUUCUUUGGGUGUUCGCUGGAGUAAGAGUAGGAGAAAAUGUUGUCGCUGCCACGGUUAUUGCAACCUGUUUGUCAGGAAAGAGUUUCUACUCCCGCCCUCCACGUUCUUCUGUGUGGAGGAACCAUGAGGUCUGUGUAAACACAAGGUUCUUCAUAUAAAGCACAAUAAGGUCCUUCCAUCUCUCUACCUUUUUCCUGGCCUUGUCUCUGCUCUCCUAACAUUAACAUUCUGCUCUAUUGGGUAGGUAGCUGUGUUAGUUUGCCACCGGGGGGGGGGACACACAACAACAACGAGUGUUAAAGGAAAAUGGAUUUGUUGAGGCACACAGUUCUGUGGCCUAGUGCUCCCUUCUCUGUUAGUUGGUUAUACCAAGGUGUUUUGCUACCUACAGAAGAGUACAAGAUAAGCUGGCAGCUGAAUGUACAGUACUUCAGUCUUGCCGAGGUGACAGUAUCCUACAUUUCUUCUGAGGGCAGCAUCCUUUCAAAAGAAGGCCAGGCCAGGCCAUAGGGAACAUCUGUCCUCCUACAAAAAAUAGCCAGAGAGCUACUGCCACUGCCCCACACUACCUAUCAUCCUCCACCUGGACUGAUUUCUUCAGUUUGCCUUAUAAGGCAGUUGAGCUGGUGGAAUGGAAAAGUCCCUGUUUCAGAAGAGGAAAUGGCUGGCUAGUACCCUGAAUAAAAGCACUCUAGAAUGACA